This 460-nucleotide ribosomal RNA is filed under the name uncultured bacterium. RNAcentral describes it as "partial 16S ribosomal RNA". It matches the Rfam family "Bacterial small subunit ribosomal RNA", at positions 338 to 795 of the family's 1533-position model. The record is from RNAcentral.
CCUACGGGCGGCAGCAGUGAGGAAUAUUGGUCAAUGGACGGAAGUCUGAACCAGCCAUGCCGCGUGCAGGAAGACGGCUCUAUGAGUUGUAAACUUCUUUUGUACAAGGGUAAACCUGAAUACGUGUAUUUAGCUGAAAGUACUGUACGAAUAAGGAUCGGCUAACUCCGUGCCAGCAGCCGCGGUAAUACGGAGGAUCCAAGCGUUAUCCGGAUUUAUUGGGUUUAAAGGGUGCGUAGGCGGAAUGAUAAGUUAGAGGUGAAAUGUCCGGGCUUAACUCGGGAACUGCCUCUAAUACUGUUGAUCUAGAGAGUAGGUGCGGUAGGCGGAAUGUAUGGUGUAGCGGUGAAAUGCUUAGAGAUCAUACAGAACUCCGAUUGCGAAGGCAGCUUACCAAUCUAUAUCUGACGUUGAGGCACGAAAGCGUGGGGAGCGAACAGGAUUAGAUACCCGAGUAGUC